GUGAUAUAAAACAAAUUUCUCCAAAUGCGUGUGAUGAAUGGGGGAAUGUUUUCAAUCAGACUAAUUAGGGCACAAUUACCAUUUUUCAACAAAGUGUGAUCAGAUUUUCAAUUAUGGAAAUGAAGAUCACAGAUUACAGAAGCCGCGUGAAGAUGAGAUUUCCGAUGCAGAAGCUCAUACGCUCGAAGAUGAAGAAGGCAGUGACGGCACUACGAAAAUUAAAACCGCGCAGAAUGGAAAAAAAGUGAUUUUAGCAACUGAGGUGAAUGAUGUUUUUCGAACACAGUUACAUCGGAGUAGCCUAAUUUGCAUAGUGCAUAAGCAGCCGAGAGUCCACUGGGGCCCGCUCCGAUUAUUGCAAUCCUUGUUCGUGGAGGAAAGCAAGGGUGCAUCUUCGAGAAUUUAUCGUCCACCGAUUUUUCGUCCAUUUUUUCCGAGGCUUUUUCCACUCUGUAGGUAACAAAUUUUUAAAUUAAAGCCAUUUAGUUGAAGAUAAUACAAAAUGCAUGUAUAUAAUCCAAUUAGUAGAAAACAUGCAGAUAGUUUUGUUGAAUAUUUGCGUGAAGAAUUUUCAAAUGAAAUUGAAAAAGAAGAAAAUUAAGAAUCAAGAAUAAAGCAACAAUUGCUUACUUUUCGUGCUAUGGCUAGACGAUAAGCGGAAUUAAGAAACGGUGUUAGUUUUUGUUUUUAUUUUUAUUUUUAUUUUUUAUGAAGUGUUAUAAUUGUGAGAAAGAGACUGAAAAGCUCGACAUGUUUAUAUAGCAGAAGCAUAGUGAAAUAACCUAGUACAUGCAUAUAUACGGCAUCUAGAUGGUCAAAUUUUAUUAAUUAUUUAUUUUCCUAAUAAUUAUCCUUAAUCUUGACAAAGUCUA
Molecule: long non-coding RNA, 872 nt
Organism: Erythranthe guttata (spotted monkey flower)
Lineage: Eukaryota; Viridiplantae; Streptophyta; Magnoliopsida; Lamiales; Phrymaceae
Source: RefSeq, a predicted model, not a curated record